Non-coding RNA from Pelobates cultripes (western spadefoot toad), 218 nucleotides. The record is from the annotation of a GenBank genome assembly. Lineage: Eukaryota; Metazoa; Chordata; Amphibia; Anura; Pelobatidae.
AAAACGUUUAGUUGGAUCAGGAGCAGAAAGUACAGGUGAGUUAACAAGUGCCGUCUUGAGCUGUUGAAAUGCCUGCUCACACUCUGGGGCCCAGACUACUAGCUUAGGGAGAUUCUUACGGGUCAAAUCAGUGAGGGGUUUGGCAAGGGCACUAUAGUUGGCCACAAAUUUCCGGUAAUACCCGGCGGUCCCUAAGAAGGCGAGCACUUGGGUCUUGG